UACGAAGGGGGCUAGCGUUGCUCGGAAUCACUGGGCGUAAAGCGCACGUAGGCGGACUCUUAAGUCGGUGGUGAAAUCCUGGAGCUCAACUCCAGAACUGCCUUCGAUACUGGGAGUCUCGAGUUCGGGAGAGGUGAGUGGAACUGCGAGUGUAGAGGUGAAAUUCGUAGAUAUUCGCAAGAACACCAGUGGCGAAGGCGACUACCUGGCCUGUUUCUUGACGCUGAGGCGCGAAAGCUAGGGGAGCAAACGGG
Molecule: ribosomal RNA, 254 nt
Filed under: uncultured bacterium
Lineage: Bacteria
Description: partial 16S ribosomal RNA
Rfam family: Bacterial small subunit ribosomal RNA
Source: RNAcentral